CCUACGGGAGGCAGCAGUGGGGAAUUUUGGACAAUGGGCGAAAGCCUGAUCCAGCAAUGCCGCGUGCAGGAAGAAGGCCUUCGGGUUGUAAACUGCUUUUGUACGGAACGAAACGGUCUGCUUUAAUACAGUGGGCUAAUGACGGUACCGUAAGAAUAAGCACCGGCUAACUACGUGCCAGCAGCCGCGGUAAUACGUAGGGUGCGAGCGUUAAUCGGAAUUACUGGGCGUAAAGCGUGCGCAGGCGGUUAUAUAAGACAGUUGUGAAAUCCCCGGGCUCAACCUGGGAAUUGCAUCUGUGACUGUAUAGCUAGAGUACGGUAGAGGGGGAUGGAAUUCCGCGUGUAGCAGUGAAAUGCGUAGAUAUGCGGAGGAACACCGAUGGCGAAGGCAAUCCCCUGGACCUGUACUGACGCUCAUGCACGAAAGCGUGGGGAGCAAACAGGAUUAGAUACCCUGGUAGUCCACGCCCUAAACGAUGUCAACUGGUUGUUGGGUGCAUUAGUACUCAGUAACGAAGCUAACGCGUGAAGUUGACCGCCUGGGGAGUACGGCCGCAAGGUUGAAACUUAAAGGAAUUGACGGCUGAGAGNGCGAGACGACGACGAGGGAGGAGG
RNAcentral lists this ribosomal RNA (617 nucleotides) under uncultured bacterium. RNAcentral describes it as "bacterial SSU rRNA". It matches the Rfam family "Bacterial small subunit ribosomal RNA", at positions 338 to 948 of the family's 1533-position model. The record is from RNAcentral.